CACUCCAAAGUGCAGCCAGAUGAGAGCAUUGAAUAAAAGGCUGGGUCGUCGCUCUCUGCAGUUCCCGGGGGUACAGGAGGGUCCGCGCGCACGUGCGACCGGGGUGGGAAGGCGCGCGCAUGCGUGAACACCUCGGCAAGCCGCUCGUUGGCCCCGUCCCUGCCUCGUCCUUUCCUCCCAUCGCCCCAACCGCCUCCCCGCUGCAGGAGGACCCCACAGUCCGGUCACCUGGGUGUUCUCUCCCUCCCGAAAGGCCUGUGCCACCCGCUGCCGCAGAGGUGGAGACUGAGGUACAGAGAGGAUGAGGACUUGCCAAGGUCACUAGCCGGCCACUCUUUCCUUCUCUAAAUGUGGAUUUUGGAAAGUUGAUGGUAAUUAGCCACGAGAAUACAGAAAUUAUUUAACUCUGCAUUGUCUAAAGUUCAGAUAAAAGGACCACCUACUUCCCAGGCCUGCUACCUGCCUUGUAGAUGCAUGGAAAUAUUGUAUUAGCCACCAUUUCCCACCCACGGAUCCCCAAAGGAUUGCAGGAAAUCGGUGAACUGUUCUUGCUGUAUACUCUAGUCAGCCAUAAAUUGGAACUUUUGUGCACUGUGAUGAUCAGAAUAAACAAACAGAAAGGGUAAUAAGGCGCACCAAAUAAUCACUGGUGACCUCAGCAAUUUUAUUAACAAAUUUAUUUCCCUAAUUGGGUAACGUAUCUUAGUGCUCGACUCAAGGGCAUUGUAAUAGGUUUCCACACUGCAGAAGAAGGAAUUAAUUAGAACUGUUUGCUCUUUGUUCCGUAUUUACACUUGUCCACCAGUCUUGUAAACAUUGCGCCUGGUUUCUUUGGCCCUCCAGGCUUCUCUCUUCUGACUCCCCCACCCCACCCCCAAAUAAAUAAAUAGAAAGCGGGGAGUGUAAUGUAACAUCAGUGGCUCAUUCUUUUGUGCAAUCCACCCCCACCUGGAAGCUGCAUUUCAUGGUUAGAGCCAUUUUGGGGCCAGAUUCUGGCAGAGUCAUCACUUCCAAUAGGUACCCGGAAGUCUAGAAAGAGACCCUUAUCUCCACGGGAAACAGUGGAGAACCUGGGGUCUUGAUUUGCCUGGGCUGUAUCUGGAUUGACCUUGUCCAUUCAGACCCUGGGCAGGAAGGUGGUGAGAUGGGCAGAUCUGUCCCACUUCUUCCUGCCCCACAGAGAAUGCCUCUUAAGAAGGUAAGAGACAGUCAUUCAUUAUAAUGUUGUAUCUGCCCUUGGAGUGGGCAGCCCAUGCGAGCAGACAAGCCAUACACUCAUGAACUCCCUCUUCGAGUCUUCUUCAAGUAGAGUUUUUUGCCUCACAGCUUGCCAAGACUUCGGCAUGACAACAAAAAGCAUUUUUAAAUGCGAAUUCUCCAGAAUCUCACUGUAAUGCUGGCUUCUCACUCAAGCUGCAGCCUUCCAGUAUACUCUAAAAUGGUGCCAUUUCACACUGCGUGUCCAGCCUCUGACGACCAGCAUUAGCAUAAGAUGCCAGAGUACAUGGAAUUAUCUCCAGAGCUGGUUUCUUUAGCAGCCAUUAAUAUGCCACGUAUGGCUUUCAAACAUGGAUAUAAUGAUUACAAAGACCUCUAACAGUGUCUAGAGUACCCCGGCUGCCAAUAGGUCCCUUUUGAUAUCUGUGCUCCAGAAAAAUCUGGAUAGGCACAACAAGCCUCAUUCUCCCUCUUGAAUAUCCUGCAGGAUCUGGAUGAGGUUUUCCAGGCCAAAAAUAUAGCCUGGAUCUGGUCCAUCAUAAGUGGUAUGCUCAUUCCAGGAGCCUUUGUAUGUUGUGUGAGCAAAGUCGAUCAUCCGGAUGUCAACUUUGGAGAGGCUUCCAGAAGAGCUGCCGUGGUCCGGCUGCGGAGCCUCCGGAGGAUGCAGGCCCUCUGAGGUCCUUUCUGGCAGCGCCUGCCCAUCGUAGAUGAUGAGGAGAGAGCUGGAGUAGAACCGGUACGAGCUCUGGUUCCGAAUGACCGAGAGGAGGGCCCGAAGCUGGCGCUGGAUGGGUUCCAGGAGCUCUGUCCGGAGGCGGGUUCCAUCAUGCAGGAACUGAUGGAGGGCUUGUCUGAACCCCUCAACAGAGAGUUUUCUUCCAUAAUACUUGUCUUUGCAGAGAAAGUGCUUCUUAUCAAUUUGAUAAACCUUCCAAUAAAAAGAGAAAGAAAAUGUGAAGAAUUGCCAACUUAAAAAAAAUAUUGUCCCUGCUAUGGUUGCAGUGUUACAAGCUAACGUGAUAUAUAAACAGAUUUCCGGGAGAUGCAGGGCAAGAGUGGCUGAAAUGAAUGGAAGGAUGAUCUUUCAUCAAGCACCAGUGGAACUUUCACAUUUUAAAAUGCUUUCUGUGCAGGCCUUUAAUAGGAAUCCAAGGUGUAAAGAUCCUUCACCCCACAGAGGUGACCCUCCACCCAUGAGGAAAAGCUUUGGAUUGCCUUUCUUGUGAAUUUCCAAUGUCAUCCUCCAAAUCAUGAUUUAAACCCUGGCUUCUGGCCCUCUUCAAUUCAAAUAUUAGCAAACCCAAGCUAGUAAGCUUUAGCAGGAAUCUGAAAUCACAGCCAAUGGCCUUGGAAAGCCAACUAGAUUCAAUUUUCCCCAAUGAAGUUUAUAAAGUCCUUUCUCUGCAGAUUCUAAGGAAACAGUCAGAGCUCUUGGGGUAGGGCAGGGUGACUGAAGAGAAAAAGAUAAAAAGAUGGGCUCGAUCAGGUAUGGAUCAGCCAGUGCAGCUGAGGGGAGCCUGGACUGGGUGGGUGGGGGGCAGUUCACAGCAGCUCUGUGGGGCUGGUGGGUCCUCCUUGGCACCAGCUCCUCUCCCCUCCCCUGUCAUGUCUUGGCCACAGGAAGGGAGCAGAUGGAGGAGAUGCUGAUGGGGGGACAGUGGCAACCACUCCCAUUUCAUUCAGAUGGCAGAGGCUGUACCGAGGCCAGUGGCUGGCAUGGCCAUGACUUGGCACACCUUUCCCUGGCUCACCUGGGAAGGGCAGCCCAUACCUGGCCAAGACAGUUUCUCAGGUCUUUCCUGCCUUCAGAUUAUGUGAUAUGUUUCUACCAGUGUGGAAAAAAAUCAGAAAGAUAUGAUAGACUUGCUUUGGAGGGCUGGAGAUCGGCUGCUAAAUUAGCCGUCAUAAAUACACGACGGGUGUCACUGUCUAAAUAAAUCAGAUCAAUUUCAGAAGAUUUGAGGUCCAGAGAGAGAUUCCAUUUACACCCCAAAUCAUCACACUGCAUUCUCCUGAGGACUGCGUUCCAAGCCUCCCAAGGGACAUCUGUGCAACAAAUUUAUAGACUCAACUUCCAGCUUCAAGGGGUGGCAGUUUCAAUUAAGGAAAGCUUGAACGUGUACCGUCAAAUCGGUGUCUGGUUUUGCUUUGAGGAGAUAGACUGUAAGAGUGAACGCGUGGGGAAAGUUUAUUUCUUCCCGUUCUGCAGCCCCUCUGCCACAAGCCACAUCAGAGCUGCAAAAAACAGGGUAGAGUCUGGGCAAUAAAAAAAUUAACCGUUCCUUUGCCUCCGCUGAACAGGUUACCACCUUCCCACUUCACUAACCAGAACAGGCAGCGAAAAGCAGAAAAGGUGGAGGAGGAAGAAGGAAUGGCUAAUAAGAAUUCAAAGAGCAGAGUGCCUCAACAGCCCCUGAGAAGGAGAGGUUCGACUUUAUCAUUCAAGUAAUUGAGGAAGCGGAGUGUGCCGAGUGAGCGAGUGAGCGGAGAGGCUCCUUUUCAGCUCUUUCCUCAGCCCCUGCUCACACGCUGCGGUCAAAGGUCUGCUCUCACUAUGGGCAGGACCCACGUGGCUGCCGGGAAGUUCAGCUGCCAGAGACCCUGAGACCGAGUUUAAAAAAUGGUGGAUUUUUGACACCACUAUCCUGAAAGGGUCUCUUAAAAAAAAAAUCCCGGUGUGUCACAGACCGGGAUAUGCAUUUCCGGGGCGGAAGGGCUGUGCCCGACUGCCUCCUGGGUUGCUUCCCAAGCGAAGGGCUCCGUGGGCAGUGGUGGCAGUUGGGAGACACCCUUGCCCCACAGUGGACGUGCCAGGACGCCCCGCCGUCCAGCGGGCCCUCUGCCACCUACCUGCAUGCCGCAGAUGCGGACGCCCAGGCAGGCUGACGUGCUCUGAGCACACUUCCUCAUGUGACGGGCCUUCUUCUCCUCGGACACAUCGUCCCCGUGCUGCCGGGUCCCCAUCUUCAGGUCAAGGAUACAGGGGUACUUGUACUGUGACACGACGUUUUCCAGCAACAGAAACCCUGGUCACGCCAAGUUCAGGAAGGCUCCGAGGACGUGAAGGCCCCCACCCUGAGUGCCAGUCCUUCUCUCCCUUCUCUCCUUACAGACAAGUCCGGCGUCCCUCUUAAGAAUUCAAGGCAGGAGGGUCUCUGUGCAUGAUCUGGGGAGGAGGACUGACCUAGAAACCGGCACCAGGCCCCAGAGCCACCACUCCACAGUGGAGAAAGGAGAGCACCGGCCUUGGUGCUUGUCCUUGGGGAGCUUGGAGUCUCCUGGCUGCCUGGGGGAGCCCUGGAUGGUGUGCCAGCCAAGGGCAGGGCCCUUUGGGGACUUGUAAAGUUCAGCUCACCGUCUGGCCUCUCCCAUCUGUGGGACUAUGGUGCCAAGCCUGCAAGAAACCGCUGUCUCGGGGAGCCUCAACCCCGGGAGGCUUCCCUGGAAGGACAAGAAAUGUGACCUUCAUCCGCUUCCGUAGGCUCCAGCUCUUGUCUGGUCUCAUCAGAUCUGAGUGUCUAAAUAAAUGGAGGCGAGCAGAGGUGCAGAGAACCCAAAACCAAUAAAAUCCAAAAGGCA
Molecule: long non-coding RNA, 4797 nt
Organism: Felis catus (domestic cat)
Lineage: Eukaryota; Metazoa; Chordata; Mammalia; Carnivora; Felidae
Exons: 4
Source: RefSeq, a predicted model, not a curated record